GGAGGUGGAUCAGGGCUGGCGUCCUGCACGGCCUUCAAAGCCGCUGGGGACUGGUUCGGCCAGGCCCGGUGGGUUCGAUUCCCAUGCACCUCCGCCA
This 97-nucleotide transfer RNA is filed under the name Planctomycetota bacterium. RNAcentral's name for it is "Planctomycetes bacterium (marine metagenome) tRNA-Sec". It matches the Rfam family "Selenocysteine transfer RNA". The record is from RNAcentral. Lineage: Bacteria; Pseudomonadati; Planctomycetota.